RNAcentral lists this ribosomal RNA (1436 nucleotides) under uncultured organism. RNAcentral's name for it is "SSU rRNA". It matches the Rfam family "Bacterial small subunit ribosomal RNA". The record is from RNAcentral.
UCUACAGGCUUAACACAUGCAAGUCGAGGGGCAGCAUGGUCUUAUCUUGCUAAGGCCGAUGGCGACCGGCGCACGGGUGAGUAACGCGUAUCCAACCUGCCUUACACUCUUGGACAGCCUUCUGAAAGGGAGAUUAAUACAAGAUGUUAUCAUGAGUAAGCAUUUUCGCAUGAUUAAAGGUUUACCGGUGUAAGAUGGGGAUGCGUUCCAUUAGAUAGUAGGCGGGGUAACGGCCCACCUAGUCUUCGAUGGAUAGGGGUUCUGAGAGGAAGGUCCCCCACAUUGGAACUGAGACACGGUCCAAACUCCUACGGGAGGCAGCAGUGAGGAAUAUUGGUCAAUGGACGAGAGUCUGAACCAGCCAAGUAGCGUGAAGGAUGAAGGUUCUAUGGAUUGUAAACUUCUUUUAUACGGGAAUAAACGAAUCCACGCGUGGAUUUUUGCAUGUACCGUAUGAAUAAGGAUCGGCUAACUCCGUGCCAGCAGCCGCGGUAAUACGGAGGAUCCGAGCGUUAUCCGGAUUUAUUGGGUUUAAAGGGAGCGUAGAUGGGUUGUUAAGUCAGUUGUGAAAGUUUGCGGCUCAACCGUAAAAUUGCAAUUGAUACUGGCAGUCUUGAGUACAGUUGAGGUAGGCGGAAUUCGUGGUGUAGCGGUGAAAUGCUUAGAUAUCACGAAGAACUCCGAUUGCGAAGGCAGCUUACUAACCUGUAACUGACAUUGAUGCUCGAAAGUGUGGGUAUCAAACAGGAUUAGAUACCCUGGUAGUCCACACGGUAAACGAUGAAUACUCGCUGUAGGCGAUAUACAGUCUGCGGCCAAGCGAAAGCAUUAAGUAUUCCACCUGGGGAGUACGCCGGCAACGGUGAAACUCAAAGGAAUUGACGGGGGCCCGCACAAGCGGAGGAACAUGUGGUUUAAUUCGAUGAUACGCGAGGAACCUUACCCGGGCUUAAAUUGCAACCGAAUAUGGCGGAAACGCUAUAGCUAGCAAUAGCGGUUGUGAAGGUGCUGCAUGGUUGUCGUCAGCUCGUGCCGUGAGGUGUCGGCUUAAGUGCCAUAACGAGCGCAACCCUUGCCGAUAGUUACUAACAGGUCAUGCUGAGGACUCUGUCGGGACUGCCAUCGUAAGAUGUGAGGAAGGUGGGGAUGACGUCAAAUCAGCACGGCCCUUACGUCCGGGGCUACACACGUGUUACAAUGGGGGGUACAGAGGGCUGCUACCACGCAAGUGGAUGCCAAUCCCAAAAACCUCUCUCAGUUCGGAUUGAAGUCUGCAACCCGACUUCAUGAAGCUGGAUUCGCUAGUAAUCGCGCAUCAGCCACGGCGCGGUGAAUACGUUCCCGGGCCUUGUACACACCGCCCGUCAAGCCAUGGGAGCCGGGGGUACCUGAAGUGCGUAACCGCAAGGAGCGCCCUAGGGUAAAACUGGUGACUG